GAGUUUGAUCAUGGCUCAGAGUGAACGCUGGCGGUAGGCCUAACACAUGCAAGUCGAACGGCAGCGACAGCAGUAGCAAUACUGGUGGGUGGCGAGUGGCGGACGGGUGAGGAAUACAUCGGAAUCUACUCUGUCGUGGGGGGAUAACGUAGGGAAACUUACGCUAAUACCGCAUACGACCUACGGGUGAAAGUGGGGGACCGCAAGGCCUCACGCGAUUGAAUGAGCCGAUGUCGGAUUAGCUAGUUGGCGGGGUAAAGGCCCACCAAGGCGACGAUCCGUAGCUGGUCUGAGAGGAUGAUCAGCCACACUGGAACUGAGACACGGUCCAGACUCCUACGGGAGGCAGCAGUGGGGAAUUUUGCGCAAUGGGCUAACGCCUGACGCAGCAACGCCGCGUGGAGGAUGAAGGUCUUUGGAUUGUAAACUCCUGUCAGCAGGGAAAAAGCGAUUUAGGUGAAUACCCUAGAGAGUUGAUUGUACCUGCAGAGGAAGCCCCGGCUAACUCUGU
This 511-nucleotide ribosomal RNA is filed under the name uncultured Gammaproteobacteria bacterium. Its description in RNAcentral is "bacterial SSU rRNA". It matches the Rfam family "Bacterial small subunit ribosomal RNA", at positions 9 to 506 of the family's 1533-position model. The record is from RNAcentral. Lineage: Bacteria; Pseudomonadati; Pseudomonadota; Gammaproteobacteria.